RNAcentral lists this ribosomal RNA (295 nucleotides) under uncultured bacterium. RNAcentral describes it as "partial 16S ribosomal RNA". It matches the Rfam family "Bacterial small subunit ribosomal RNA", at positions 775 to 1067 of the family's 1533-position model. The record is from RNAcentral.
GGAUUAGAUACCCUGGUAGUCCACGCUGUAAACGAUGGAUGCUAGAUGUUGGCCAGAUUGCUGGUCAGUGUCGGCGCUUACGCAAUAAGCAUCCCGCCUGGGGAGUACGGUCGCAAGAUUAAAACUCAAAGAAAUUGACGGGGACCCGCACAAGCGGUGGAGUAUGUGGUUUAAUUCGAAGCUACGCGAAGAACCUUACCAGCUCUUGACAUGGUGGUCAUACCUUCCGUAAUGGGAAGGGUCGGUUCGGCCGGACCACACACAGGUGCUGCAUGGCUGUCGUCAGCUCGUGCUG